UAAGACUGGAUAGGAAGAAAUAAGGCAUCUUAUUUCUUUUAAAAGACCUAGUAAUAGGUAUACUUUAGGAGGGGCUUGCGCCAUAUUAGUUAGUUGGUAGGGUAAUGGCCUACCAAGACGAUGAUGUGUAGCUGGACUGAGAGGUUGAACAGCCACAUUGGGACUGAGACACGGCCCAAACUCCUACGGGAGGCAGCAGUAAGGAAUUUUCGGCAAUGGAGGAAACUCUGACCGAGCAACGCCGCGUGAACGACGAAGUACUUUGGUAUGUAAAGUUCUUUUAUCAAGGAAGAAAAGCAAGUGGCGAACCAUUUGUUUGCCGGUACUUGAUGAAUAAGCCCCGGCUAAUUAUGUGCCAGCAGCCGCGGUAAGACAUAAGGGGCAAGUGUUAUCCGGAAUUAUUGGGCGUAAAGGGUGCGUAGGCGGUCUAGUAAGUCAGUGGUGUAAUGGCAACGCUCAACGUUGUCCGGCUAUUGAAACUGCUAAACUUGAGUUAGAUAGAGGCGAGUGGAAUUCCAUGUGUAGCGGUAAAAUGCGUAAAUAUAUGGAGGAACACCAGAGGCGUAGGCGGCUCGCUGGGUCUUAACUGACGCUGAGGCACGAAAGCGUGGGGAGCAAACAGGAUUAGAUACCCUGGUAGUCCACGCCGUAAACGAUGAGUACUAAGUGUCGGGUUAAACCGGUACUGAAGUUAACACAUUAAGUACUCCGCCUGAGUAGUACGUACGCAAGUAUGAAACUUAAAGGAAUUGACGGGACUCCGCACAAGCGGUGGAUCAUGUUGUUUAAUUCGAAGAUACCCGAAAAACCUUACCAGGUCUUGACAUGUUUUUGCGAAACGGUAGUAAUAUCGUAGAGGUUAUCAGAAACACAGGUGGUGCAUGGUUGUCGUCAGCUCGUGUCGUGAGAUGUUAGGUUAAGUCCUAAAACGAGCGAAACCCUUAUCGUUAGUUGCCAGCACGUUAUGGUGGGGACUUUAACGAGACUGCCAGUGAUAAACUGGAGGAAGGUGAGGAUCACGUCAAAUCAGCAUGCCCCUUAUGACCUGGGCUACAAACGUGAUACAAUGGCUGUUACAAAGGGUAGCUGAAACGUAAGUUCUUGGCCAAUCCCCAAAAACAGUCUCAGUCCGGAUUGAAGUCUGCAACUCGACUUCAUGAAGUUGGAAUCGCUAGUAAUCGCGAAUCAGCAUGUCGCGGUGAAUACGUUCUCGGGGUUUGUACACACCGCCCGUCAAACCACGAAAGUUGGCAAUACCCCAAAAUGGUAGCCUAACUCGUUUAUUCGAGAGGGCGCUGUCUAAGGUAGGGUCGAUGAUUGGGGUUAAGUCGUAACA
Molecule: ribosomal RNA, 1336 nt
Filed under: Candidatus Phytoplasma citri
Lineage: Bacteria; Bacillati; Mycoplasmatota; Mollicutes; Acholeplasmatales; Acholeplasmataceae
Description: bacterial SSU rRNA
Rfam family: Bacterial small subunit ribosomal RNA
Source: RNAcentral